This is a long non-coding RNA of Ictidomys tridecemlineatus (thirteen-lined ground squirrel), 3307 nucleotides long. The record is from Ensembl. NCBI's taxonomy places the organism in Eukaryota, Metazoa, Chordata, Mammalia, Rodentia, Sciuridae.
CAAGGCACUUGGUUCCCAUCAAAUGUCCCCACUCAGUGCCCAAUCACAUGUGUCUUUAGUGUUCAUUUUCUCUUCCUAAAAAGGAACCAAGCAUGGUAUCUGCCUCCUCUCCCCAACAAAGGGCUUAGGUGGAAUUAAAAGGGAUUAUGUUUGGAGAGGAAAACUAGCCUUUAAUCACCAACAGAAGGACACACCAGCCUGAAGGUGCAUGUCCAUCGCUAACCCGAAACCUGACCCUGACCUGUUAGCCUCUGCUCCACGCCAUCCCCUUGUCCUUGGGUGGUCACCAGCACGGGCUUCGCCGGACAGAUACGACUAUUGCUCUGGAAGAACUGGACCCUGCGGAAAAGGCAAAAGGUAUUUUAAUCACAGCAGCAAAAAAGCUGAUCAAAACAUACUGCAAACAUCAUCGUGAAGCUUUAAAGUCUAUACUUUCAGCUUGAGACUCCUUGAGGCCUCUGAACAGAAGAGCCUACCCAUCCAGAGAGAUCCUAUGGUGCUGUGUGGUGGGAUCAGGAAACCUUGGAUACCACUUUUCAAGAAUGUAUCGAGAUUUUCAAGAACUCCUCAUGAAUGCACCAGAAAGCCAGCACUUUGGCCAGGUUUGGACAGAGCUCCGCACCUCGUCCCAGCUCAUGGACACCCUGCGGACUCACCCUGAGAGAAUUGUAGGACGAGGAAUACGCAUUUGGAAUAUCCUGAAAGAUGAAGAGGCGCUGACCCUAUUUCUCAUUAAAAACAUUGGCCUGUCCAGCUCAUUUGUCUACCUGCUGGUCAACUCCCGAGUCCAUGUGGAGGAGUUUGCUCACAGAGUCCCAGACUUGGUGCUAAAGGACAUCGCCUGCAAUGAAGCCCUCCUGGAGUGCUUCAUCAUCUUUGGCCAGAGACAUGGGGCGUGGGCUGUGCGUGACGCCCUGUGUUCCCUCUCCCAGGGGACCCUACAGUGGAUAGAAGACACUCUGUAUGCCAAUGUGGACUUCUUCAAGCUCUUCCAUGUGAUAAGCGAAGGGUGACUCCUGGGACAGGCAGCAUCUGGGACUCAUGAAUUGACACUGGUGGAGGUGUGAACCUAGUAUUCAGAACAAGCCUGGAGGAAGCUCCAGGCUCCAGGGGCCCAAGAAAUCUUGACCAAUAUGAUUUUUAGAACAUCGGCCUAGUGACCCAAGAGUCAUAGGAGCUUCAGCAUUAGGUAUUGUGACAGGUGUGUGUUUAUUCCAAAUGUGGGCUGAGUGCUCCCCAACACCUGUAGCAAUGUGGUUAAGAAAGAAGCCAGGUUUGGUGUUGCACACCUGUAAUCUCAGCGGCUCAGGAGACUGAGACAGGAAGAUCACCAGUUCAAAGCCAGCCUUAGCAACAUAGUGAGGCUCUAAGCAACUUAACAAGAUCCUGUCUUGGCUGGAGAUGUGGCUCAGUGGUUAAGCAUCCCGAGGUUCAAUCUCUGGUACAAAAAAAAAAAAGGAAAGAAGAAGGCCUGGUUUGACUUCUGUGAUUGUGGCAAGAUAUUGAAAUUUUCCGAGCCUCAUUAUUUCUCUAUAUAAGUACAAUACUUAAUAAAUUCAUUUAAAAAGAUACAGACAAAAAAAACUAUAUGUAAGGCAUUUAAUAAAUUUUAAUAAAUGAGGACUUCAUGCUCUUUCUUCUGGACCUGGUCUUGACCCACAUUCCCCCACCAAUGGCUGUUUCUAAGAAAACAACAGAAAUUUUCUUGUCUCACAGCUCUGAUCUAGCUCAAUCUUCUGUACUAGAAUGGCAUCCCAGAGAUGUAUUUCCUUCUUUGCUAGAAGGAUAAAAUAAGAGGGAAUAUUAUAAAGGAGGGGCUGUGCAGGAACUGUCAGGCUACAGGGUGCUUGAAAAGCAUCACAGAAGUUGGUGAAAGAGGCAGAGCUUCCUUUGGCCCAUUAAAAAGCAGAAUAACGUUUGAACCCAGAAGAAUUAAUUGUGCUGAUUACAUUUCUUUGGGGACCUAUAAAUAGUUGUUUACUUUUUCCACACAAUCAUCAUCACUAGGUGGAUAUUAUUUGCAUUCUUUAGCUGCCUUAGGCCUCAGGUCCCUGUGGGCCACCCUUUCACCAACACUCAGAAUGCUUUGGAGACAAAAUGUAGGAUUUCUAGCACUAAAUUGUGUUUUUUCUUUUGCCUAUAUUUUAAUUUAGGGAACUGUGUUGUGAGGAAUGUCAGUUCUAAGAAUUGAUUAAAGAAUUUUAUUUUGUCUACUUUUUGCUUGCUCUCUCAAGUCUCCAGAAAACCCACUCUCAGCUUGUCUUUAAGGCUUGGAAAAAACGAAACAAAAUAAAACAAGACCCCACAGUUUCUGGAAGAGUUCACUCUGAAUCCCUUUGAAAGUGGGCUUUCCCUUGGAAGCUACUCUACACAUUUCCCUAACUCAUCAGGUAGGGAAGAGGGGUCAGAAACUGGGGAUGCCCUCACUGCUCAGGGUCUGGGCCUCAGAAAAGGUCUCUAGGCUUUCUUUGGUGCAGAAAGAAUAAAAAGCAAUGUGGUCCAAACAUCUCCGUCCAGUUUCAAAAGGAAACUGAUUUUAGAUUCACUCUUUGGUUUGUUUAAUAAUUAGAUAGAAGAGUAAGAUGACAAAGGUGCCUUAUUCUGGGCAAUUUUACCCAGACAGCCAGGAGACAGUGCCUGUGUUGCAGAGCCAAGACCUGUGUGCUUCCAUGGAACAGAAUGAAGGGUACCAGUAUGCUGGGGUAAGCAGGGGCCUGGUUGCCUAGGUGCCCAGUUCUUUGCAAUAUUCUUGUCAGUAAGAGGGGGACCAGGUCAUGCUUCUCUUCUUGAAGCACCUUGGCUACUGAUAAAUUUACUUCCUGGGACAUGACCAUCAAUUCUGGGAGACAAUCCUGAGUGUAGCAGAAUAAAGGGGGCACCUGGGCAAAAUUUUCCAUUAAUGACUGGAAUUUGUGUUGGUCAGAUUGCCAUUACUAUUACAAAUACCUGAAAAAAAACAACUUAUAAAGAGAAAAGGUUUAUUUUGUCUCACAUUUUUUGGAGGUUCCAGGCCAUGUUUAGUUGGCCCCAUUGCUUUUGGACUUGUGGUAAGGUUGCACAUCAUGGCAGAAACAUGUGUAGAGCAAAACUGCUCACCUAUGGCCAAUAAGCAAAUGAGAGAGGGAGGUGGAGAGAAUGGAGUGGGGUCCUGCUCUCUCCUCCCAAGGACCCAAAGACCUCCCACUAGGCCCCACCUCUUAAAGGCCCCACCACCUCCCAGUAGCACUGGGGACCAAGCAUUUAACACAUACACCUUUGGGAAACACUCAAGAUGUAAACUGCAGUAAACCCCCAAGAGACCAUUGAC